UUAAAUUCUAGAUACAAGAGAUUGACACAGCAUAUUUAUUUGACACCAAUCAAUCUUCAAAACUACUAAUUAAGUAUCUAGAGGUUCCAAGGCAUGGCUAAUCUGGAGAUUAUGAAGGCUUUUGCUCUGUGUGAAUCUGUGCUUCUAGCCUGUGCAGAAAAUAUAAAUUGUGUUGGCUUUUGAAGGAGAUGCUGAUGCUAAUGCUAUUGUUAUUGUGGAAAAGAUGAAUGAUAAAGUUUGAUCCUGAAAGAAACACACUGCUCCCCUGCCCCAUGGAAGAUAAAGAAAGCAAAACAAGUACGUCGACUGAAUGGUACACUGUAAACCCCAUAAACCCAGCAG
This 342-nucleotide unclassified non-coding RNA is filed under the name Hevea brasiliensis (rubber tree). Lineage: Eukaryota; Viridiplantae; Streptophyta; Magnoliopsida; Malpighiales; Euphorbiaceae. The record is from RNAcentral.